Molecule: long non-coding RNA, 425 nt
Filed under: Salvator merianae (Argentine black and white tegu)
Lineage: Eukaryota; Metazoa; Chordata; Lepidosauria; Squamata; Teiidae
Description: lncRNA (ENSSMRG00000000128.1)
Source: RNAcentral
GCAGAUGGCAGAGGCGAGCCUGGGCGGUAGUAGGAAGCUGCAAAAAGUGCCUUAACUAAAGAGCAUCAGCGAGAGAGGCACGCAGGCCGGCUGCUGCUUCCUGAUUCCAGUUUUGCAGCAGUAGCGAGCCGCUGUUCUUGCUGCGGGAACUGCAAAACGGACGGUCCGGUCGCCCCAGUCUGCAGAUAAGCAUUUGAAUGUGGUACUGUGGAGAAGAAGAGAAAACCCUCACCAAAAGACUUUUUUUCUGCAGCUUCCUUUGCAUCCAGAGAAACCACUGGCAAGAGAAACAGCUUCUGCAGGAAUGGGUAGCCAUGAAAAAGAUCCAUCUUCUCCCNAAAAGGCACCACCUCCAUCUCGCUCCAAUAGCACUGUGUCUUCCAAAUACAGCAUUGCGCGACAGGGUUCUGAAAGCUGGGAGGUAG